This 253-nucleotide ribosomal RNA is filed under the name uncultured bacterium. RNAcentral describes it as "partial 16S ribosomal RNA". It matches the Rfam family "Bacterial small subunit ribosomal RNA", at positions 524 to 776 of the family's 1533-position model. The record is from RNAcentral.
UACAGGGGGGGCAAGCGUUGUUCGGAAUUACUGGGCGUAAAGGGUUCGUAGGUGGCUCACUAAGUCACACGUGAAAUCCCUCAGCUUAACUGGGGAACUGCGUGUGAAACUGGAGAGCUUGAGGGUAGGAGAGGAAUGCGGAAUUCCAGGUGUAGCGGUGAAAUGCGUAGAUAUCUGGAGGAACACCGGUGGCGAAGGCGGCAUUCUGGACUAUUUCUGACACUGAAGAACGAAAGCCAGGGGAGCAAACGGG